UGCGGAGGAUGCGAGCGUUAUCCGGAUUUAUUGGGUUUAAAGGGUGCGCAGGCGGAUUUUUAAGUCAGCGGUCAAAUCGUGGGGCUCAACCCCAUCCAGCCGUUGAAACUGGGGAUCUAGAGUGUGCGAGAGGUAUGCGGAAUGCGUGGUGUAGCGGUGAAAUGCAUAGAUAUCACGCAGAACCCCGAUUGCGAAGGCAGCAUACCGGUGCACAACUGACGCUCAGGCACGAAAGCGUGGGUAUCGAACAGG
This 252-nucleotide ribosomal RNA is filed under the name uncultured bacterium. Its description in RNAcentral is "partial 16S ribosomal RNA". It matches the Rfam family "Bacterial small subunit ribosomal RNA", at positions 524 to 776 of the family's 1533-position model. The record is from RNAcentral.